Vespa mandarinia (Asian giant hornet) is the source of this 717-nucleotide long non-coding RNA. Lineage: Eukaryota; Metazoa; Arthropoda; Insecta; Hymenoptera; Vespidae. The record is from RefSeq and is a predicted model, not a curated record.
CGAUUAUGUUAAAUUGCUGAUCGUGUUAUAUACUCGUUAGACAUUGACGUGUAAGGAAAACUGAAAAAUACUUACGCUUUAUAGCUUACAACAGUAGAGUUAUAGUUAAUAUUCGACCACUGUAGUAUCUACAAAGAUUCGAUCGUGUCAUACUUAUGCUAUUUUUGUUUCUUUCUUUCUUCCUUUUCCUUUACCUUCUUUGUUUUAUAUUUUAUUGAGCGACCGACGAUAGUCACAUGACUCUAUGCCGGGUAUUAUCACUAUAUUUAUAAUAUAGACGUGCGUGUCUUUUAUACGUCGUAUCGUUCGUCGAUUUCCCUGGUAGUACUUUUCAAACGAGAACUCUCAUACUCGUUGCAUGAACGACAACAGUGCAAGUGUUACACGGUUACUGUACGCGUGACACGCUACCAACCUUCACCUCCUUUCGCACCUUAACGUCAAAGAGCAGCUGCCGGCGAUAUUUAAAAGUUUAGAUUAUAAUCAAACCGCAACGAAACCUUAAGAAAACCACGACGUUUCAAAGAAAACAACAUCGUUUUUGUAUUAACCUUUUGACCCUUGACAUAAUAUUGCUGUACAGCCAACGAUAAAACUCUGACAUUAUAUCCCUAUAUAAGAGAAGACCAUAUUUCCUUCUACUAUAAAAAAAUAAAUUAGAAUUUUAUUUAUCGCAAACUCAAUGAAUGAAGAAAGGAGAAUAAUUUUAAUUUACGU